CGCCUCCUGCAGCAUAAAGUAUAGGAGGUCCAGCCUGCCCAGUGACUACGGGUUCAACGGCCGCGGUAUAUUGACCGUGCAAAGGUAGCGCAAUCACUUGUCUUUUAAAUAGAGACCUGUAUGAAUGGCUAGACGAGGGCUUAACUGUCUCCCCCCUCCAGUCAGUGAAAUUGAUCUAUCCGUGCAGAAGCGGGUAUAGUACUACAAGACGAGAAGACCCUUUGGAGCUUAAGGUACAGAAUUUAGCCACGUUAAGCAACUCCAUAAACAGCAAGAACUUAGUGGUCAUGAAAUUUUACCUUCGGUUGGGGCGACCGCGGAGGAAAAGCAAGCCUCCGAGUGGACUGGGCCGAGACCCUAAAGCCAAGAGAAACAUCUUCAAGCCGCAGAACAUCUGACCAAUAAUGAUCCGGCUAAAAAGCCGAUCAACGGACCAAGUUACCCUAGGGAUAACAGCGCAAUCCUCUCCCAGAGCCCAUAUCGACGAGGGGGUUUACGACCUCGAUGUUGGAUCAGGACAUCCUGGUGGUGCAGCCGCU
This 539-nucleotide ribosomal RNA is filed under the name Notropis atherinoides (emerald shiner). RNAcentral's name for it is "partial large subunit ribosomal RNA". It matches the Rfam family "Bacterial large subunit ribosomal RNA", at positions 1816 to 2563 of the family's 2925-position model. Lineage: Eukaryota; Metazoa; Chordata; Actinopteri; Cypriniformes; Leuciscidae. The record is from RNAcentral.